Molecule: ribosomal RNA, 491 nt
Filed under: uncultured bacterium
Lineage: Bacteria
Description: partial 16S ribosomal RNA
Rfam family: Bacterial small subunit ribosomal RNA
Source: RNAcentral
AGUGAACGCUGGCGGUAGGCCUAACACAUGCAAGUCGAACGGCAGCACAGUAAGAGCUUGCUCUUACGGGUGGCGAGUGGCGGACGGGUGAGGAAUACAUCGGAAUCUACUUUUUCGUGGGGGAUAACGUAGGGAAACUUACGCUAAUACCGCAUACGACCUACGGGUGAAAGCAGGGGAUCUUCGGACCUUGCGCGAUUGAAUGAGCCGAUGUCGGAUUAGCUAGUUGGCGGGGUAAAGGCCCACCAAGGCGACGAUCCGUAGCUGGUCUGAAAGGAUGAUCAGCCACACUGGAACUGAGACACGGUCCAGACUCCUACGGGAGGCAGCAGUGGGGAAUAUUGGACAAUGGGCGCAAGCCUGAUCCAGCCAUACCGCGUGGGUGAAGAAGGCCUUCGGGUUGUAAAGCCCUUUUGUUGGGAAAGAAAAGCAGCAGGUUAAUACCCCGCUGUUCUGACGGUACCCAAAGAAUAAGCACCGGCUAACUUCGU